Molecule: transfer RNA, 75 nt
Filed under: Caulobacter sp.
Lineage: Bacteria; Pseudomonadati; Pseudomonadota; Alphaproteobacteria; Caulobacterales; Caulobacteraceae
Also listed under: 180 other names
Description: tRNA-Val
Rfam family: tRNA
About the family: Transfer RNA (tRNA) molecules are approximately 80 nucleotides in length. Their secondary structure includes four short double-helical elements and three loops (D, anti-codon, and T loops).
Source: RNAcentral
GGACGCGUAGCUCAGCGGGAGAGCACUACGUUGACAUCGUAGGGGUCACAGGUUCAAUCCCUGUCGCGUCCACCA